CAGUACCGCGGGAAUACGGAGGGAGCUAGCGUUGUUCGGAAUUACUGGGCGUAAAGCGCGCGUAGGCGGUUACUCAAGUCAGAGGUGAAAGCCCGGGGCUCAACCCCGGAACUGCCUUUGAAACUAGGUGACUAGAAUCUUGGAGAGGUCAGUGGAAUUCCGAGUGUAGAGGUGAAAUUCGUAGAUAUUCGGAAGAACACCAGUGGCGAAGGCGACUGACUGGACAAGUAUUGACGCUGAGGUGCGAAAGCGUGGGGAGCAAACAGGAUUAGAUACCCCAGUAGUCCCUGUCUCUUAUACC
Molecule: ribosomal RNA, 301 nt
Filed under: uncultured bacterium
Lineage: Bacteria
Description: partial 16S ribosomal RNA
Rfam family: Bacterial small subunit ribosomal RNA
Source: RNAcentral